CCCCUCAAGCAUUCCUAGACUCUAGUUUAUCUUAAUAGAAUGCACUGCAUUAAUGAGUAAUGUACAAUGACCUAUCAUUAUAAUUGCUUAUGUAUAUCCACAAUAUUUGAAUAUCUUAUCUGAAUAGUUGUCAACAUGUAUGGUCCAUGCCAAUGGAAAUCUGACCACAUCCUCUUCUUUUUAUAUUUGCAUAUCAAUGAAAGAAUGACUGCAACUGCAUACAAUACAUUUCAUAAAUUAUGCGGUGCCAUAAUUACAGUGCAAGAUAUGAAAACGAAGAUUUAAAAAUUCGCUGAUGAAAUAUGUUGUUUUCCGGACCCCUCCUCCUUUUUCCAAACAUUAUUUAUUCAAUUGUACUGAAAACACAAACAAAUACAAAUUAAGGUGAAAGUGUUUAUAAAAAAUGAAAACAUAUC
RNAcentral lists this long non-coding RNA (416 nucleotides) under Mytilus galloprovincialis (Mediterranean mussel). The record is from RNAcentral. Lineage: Eukaryota; Metazoa; Mollusca; Bivalvia; Mytilida; Mytilidae.